Molecule: long non-coding RNA, 1027 nt
Filed under: Phasianus colchicus (ring-necked pheasant)
Lineage: Eukaryota; Metazoa; Chordata; Aves; Galliformes; Phasianidae
Description: lncRNA (ENSPCLG00000011370.1)
Source: RNAcentral
CUCGGGCGGCCGCCGCUCUUCGGGUGAGGGGCGAGGCUGUGCGCAGCUUCGGGAGCGUUCUGCCCUCAGCCGGGGCCGUUCCUCUACCCGAAGGAGACAAAAUCCCCGCUAAAGCUCCGCUUGCCUCCGCUCCGCUCCGCUCGCUCGCCGCCUCUGUUCCUCUCUAGGGAUUUCAGUUCAUGUUGCCGGCUCGGCGGCAGGGGGAGGAGGAGGAGGAGGAAUAAGGAGGGGGAGGAGGCGGUGGCACGCUCCGACGCCUCCCGCCCCCGCGGCCCCGAGGGCGGCUCCCAGCCCCGGCGAGGGUUCUGCUGCCGGGCAGCGGAGCGGGUAAGAAGUCCAAAGGAGAGCUGAAUGACUUUUCAUACUGACCUGCUUAAACUACAGUGUCUCAGCCAAACUGCCUUAACCAAAGUUUUUCAGCUGUUUUCAUCAUUUAGUGGCCCGCAUCUUGCAGUCACACCUGCAUGAGUCAGGACUUUUAUGUAUAGCAUAUGGGACAGGCUUCUGCACAGAUGCUGAACUGCAGAAUUUAUGUCCUAACUCAUCUUUUAUGAUUACUUUGGUCUGUAUAAUGGAAUGAAAAUGACUGUGGCAUAUUAGUUUGUGUGGGAUUAUUUUGUUUUGUUUUGUUUUUUGUCUUUUUUUUUUUUUUAAUCUAAAUAUAUGUGUCUUUAUUAGGAAACUCUAAAUGUAUUAUGUAGCGAAUGUAAAAGCAAAUGCACAGUGAAGUUCAGUAUUCAAGGCAAAUUACAGAACCAUGGACUGGCUUGAGUUGGAAAGGAGUUUAAAGACCACUCAGCCCCAACCCCCUGUGUAUAAUCAAUGAAUAUACAGGUGUUAUAAUUAAGAAAUACACAAGAGAGUUUGGCUAAGAAAGUAUUAAACCAAAAAGAAUAGAAGGCUUACUCUUGUCCUGGGCUUGCUGGAAAACUCCAAAAAGAAGGAUCUCCAGAAAGAGAUCUUUCCUCACUGCUAGUCAGCUCUUAAAUGGGUCUAGGAGAGGUGGAGCCAAGCUCCACCCCUUCCG